Molecule: long non-coding RNA, 1076 nt
Organism: Oncorhynchus tshawytscha (Chinook salmon)
Lineage: Eukaryota; Metazoa; Chordata; Actinopteri; Salmoniformes; Salmonidae
Exons: 2
Source: RefSeq, a predicted model, not a curated record
GAUAAAGAGGAGAGAGAAAAGAGAGAAAGCCCCACUGAAGCAUCAGGAUCAGCAUCUCAUUUCCUGUGUAUAUAACUUGACCUCCUUUCAUAAAUAAAGGAAGAGGGAGAAAGAGAGGGACUGAGAGGCCCUCCAAUUCCACGUGGAAGUGCACAGACAGUCACACAGACAGUUAGAGAAAGUCAGUUACAGACAGACAGAGUUACAGACAGACAGUUACACACUGAGUUAGACAGUCAGUUAGUCAGUCAGUUACAGCCACAGCGCCAAAAGUACAUUCCAAGCCUUCGCAGUGGGCCAAGUUUAAUGUGAACAUAAAAAAAGAGAAAGACAAGGCUAUUGGAAAGGACGGUGGAAUACGAGACAGUGAUGGAAUAACUCUGUGGUCCCUCCCAUUCUCUACCAGUACAGGGGCCAGCAGGCAGGUUGGAAUCUAAGAGUUUUGUGUGUGUGUGUGUGUGUCUCUGCACACAGGCUGUAGUCCUAGUAGUGAAAACAAAGACAUUGUUAUGGUGCGUUGGAUUGAGUUCCAGCCACAUCAACUUCCAAGAAAGGAAGGAUGGAAAAUGUGGGGCUCUGAGAAGAGAGAUCGGUGGUUCUCUUGGAUAAUGAAGCCCAGAUCAACAAAGACUAAGCAGCUUCUAAAUGGGGCUCUGAGAAGAGAGAUCGGUGGUUCUCUUGGAUAAGGAAGCCCAGAUCAACAAAGACUAAGCAGCUUCUAAAUGGGGCUCUGAGAAGAGAGAUCGGUGGUUCUCUUGGAUAAUGAAGCCCAGAUCAACCAGGACUAAGCAGCUUCUGUUUAUUUGUUUUGUUUUUGCCUCUGACAUACUUCAUCCAUGUUGCUUAUUCACUUCUUAUCUCAUCCUCCAGCUGUUUAGACAUUCCAGGGAGAGAGAAAGAGGGCGAGAGAAAGAAGAGAGCUCUGGGGCUCGAUCAUCUGAACCAGGGUGAAUUAGCAGUGUCCUCAGAGACGGUCGUCGUGGCAACCACCUCCCUCCUCCCAAAAUGAUGUGAUGAGGGUGAGGCUGAUGAGGGUCUGUUGACAGAGAUGUGAUGGAGAGAAAACAACCACAGGA